UGUCUUCGGGGCAGGGUGAAAUUCCCGACCGACGGUGAAAGUCCGUGAAUCCUGCAGUUGCAGGAUUGAGAUGGUGAAAUUCCAUCACCGACAGUGACAGUCUGGAUGGGAGAAGAC
This 117-nucleotide non-coding RNA is filed under the name marine eukaryotic metagenome. RNAcentral's name for it is "FMN riboswitch (RFN element)". It matches the Rfam family "FMN riboswitch aptamer (RFN element)". From Rfam's summary of the family: The RFN element is a highly conserved domain that is found frequently in the 5'-untranslated regions of prokaryotic mRNAs that encode for flavin mononucleotide (FMN) biosynthesis and transport proteins. The record is from RNAcentral.